This 1127-nucleotide long non-coding RNA is filed under the name Homo sapiens (human). Its description in RNAcentral is "HSALNT0345050". The record is from RNAcentral. Lineage: Eukaryota; Metazoa; Chordata; Mammalia; Primates; Hominidae.
CCGGAGUGAUCCGGCUGCGGGCCAGGGUCUGGGAAGGGGGUGGUGGGUCGCCGUUUCAUCAGAAGCCGGAGGACGGGCGCCAGGGGGCAACUUCCUACAGGAGGGCGUCCCGUUAGAAUGACAGGGCUUUUGCAAAAGUCUGACACCCGUGGCACAGAGCGCCCCAGAUAUGGAGGGUUUCACAGGCUCAUGUGUGGCUUCUUCAGUCCUCUCUUCAUUCACUCAUGUAUUCAUUUAUUCAACGACAUAUUACUAAGGAACCUCCUUAAGCCGGGAUGCUGAACGUGGAAAAAUAGUUGACUCUUGAACAAUGUGGGGGCUUGGGGCACCAACCCCCUGUGCAGUUGAAAAUCGACAUAUAACUUUGACUCGCCAAAAACUUCACUACAAUAGCCUGCUGCCAACCUGAAGUCUUACCAAUAACAUCAACAGUCAAUUAAACAUAUUACUAGGCUGAAAAGGAGAAGGAAGUGAAGGGGUUGGUCUUGCCGUCUCACGAGUGGCAGAGGCAGGAGAAAAUCCAAAUGUCUGGGAUGUUUCUCUUGCAUGCCUCUGGAAUCAAAUGACUCUGAUACUGCAAGCACUUCAGAGUAUGUAUAAGCAAUUUCAGCUGGUUCCGUCCUGAUAUUUACAAAACUGCCUGGAUCAUACUUACAACCAUGCAAUGAUAUAUAUUUCUAUUAAGAAAGCAACGAUUUGCUUGAAAGAUGAAGGAAAACAAACUAAGUAUUUAUGUACAAUGAGUCCUAAGUGUACACCACUAUGUUUUCCAUCAGCUUUUGAUUUUCUGUCACUCCUCUUUUUCUUUGAAAUUUAGAGUCAGAAGUGAACUGACUUCAUGGUUUUCCUCAUGAUUAUUUGAUAUCCUCUAGGGAAUCAUGACUUAAAGACUGCAUUCUUCCUUCUCAAAACUCAUGUUAAAGAUUUCUCCAUGCAGAGCCACAGGCUAUUUUGGAGUUUGAAAUGGAGCAGUUAAAACUAGGAGGUCACACACGUUGAGAUUAUUCCUUCACUGCAUCUCGCCCGGCUUGUGUGCCUGAGGAGACACGCAUCUCAGAGGGCAGAGGGGCAGCCGUUGUCUAGUGAGGUUAUUUCACCUACUAUAUAAUAAAAUGUACAGGACAAUA